ACGCUCGACACCUACGGGAGGCAGCAGUUGGGAAUAUUGGACAAUGGAGGAAACUCUGAUCCAGUGACGCCGCGUGAAGGAAGAAGGUCUUCGGAUUGUAAACUUAUUUUGUCAGGGAAGAAAAAAUGACUGUACCUGAAGAAAAAGCACCGGCUAACUACGUGCCAGUAGCCCGCGGUAAUCUGAGCGGGCUGGCAAAGGC
RNAcentral lists this ribosomal RNA (202 nucleotides) under uncultured bacterium. RNAcentral's name for it is "partial 16S ribosomal RNA". It matches the Rfam family "Bacterial small subunit ribosomal RNA", at positions 328 to 539 of the family's 1533-position model. The record is from RNAcentral.